AACGAACGCUGGCGGCAUGCCUAACACAUGCAAGUCGAACGAGACCUUCGGGUCUAGUGGCGCACGGGUGCGUAACGCGUGGGAAUCUGCCCUUGGGUUCGGAAUAACAGUUAGAAAUGACUGCUAAUACCGGAUGAUGACUUCGGUCCAAAGAUUUAUCGCCCAGGGAUGAGCCCGCGUCGGAUUAGCUAGUUGGUGAGGUAAAGGCUCACCAAGGCGACGAUCCGUAGCUGGUCUGAGAGGAUGAUCAGCCACACUGGGACUGAGACACGGCCCAGACUCCUACGGGAGGCAGCAGUGGGGAAUAUUGGACAAUGGGGGCAACCCUGAUCCAGCAAUGCCGCGUGAGUGAUGAAGGCCUUAGGGUUGUAAAGCUCUUUUACCCGGGAUGAUAAUGACAGUACCGGGAGAAUAAGUCCCGGCUAACUCCGUGCCAGCCGCCGCCGUAA
Molecule: ribosomal RNA, 449 nt
Filed under: uncultured bacterium
Lineage: Bacteria
Description: partial 16S ribosomal RNA
Rfam family: Bacterial small subunit ribosomal RNA
Source: RNAcentral